Molecule: ribosomal RNA, 239 nt
Filed under: uncultured fungus
Lineage: Eukaryota; Fungi
Description: partial 18S ribosomal RNA
Rfam family: Eukaryotic small subunit ribosomal RNA (bases 74-239)
Source: RNAcentral
CGCCUCACCGCGUGCACUGGUCCGGCCGGGCCUUUCCUUCUGAGGAGCCGCAUGCCCUUCACUGGGUGUGUCGGGGAAUCAGGACUUUUACUCUGAAAAAAUUAGAGUGUUCAAAGCAGGCCUAUGCUCGAAUACAUUAGCAUGGAAUAAUAGAAUAGGACGUGUGGUUCUAUUUUGUUGGUUUCUAGGACCGCCGUAAUGAUUAAUAGGGAUAGUCGGGGGCAUCAGUAUUCAAUUGU